GACGAACGCUGGCGGCGUGCUUAACACAUGCAAGUCGAACGGUGAAGCGCCUUCCUUUUUGGUGGGUGUGGAUGAGUGGCGAACGGGUGAGUAACACGGGAGUAACCUGCCCCCUUCUUCUGGAUAACCGCAGGAAAGUGUGGCUAAUACGGGAGAUUCUGGUGCUGUCGCAUGAUGGGUCGGGGGAAGAUAUUGUUUCGGUGGGGGAGGGGCUCGCGGCCUAUCAGCUUGUUGGUGGGGUGAGGGCCUACCAGGGCGGUGACGGGUAGCCGGCAUGGGAGGGUGGACGGGCAGACUGGGACUGAGGCACGGCCACGACUCGUACGGGAGGCAGCCGUGGGGAAUAUUGGACAAUGGGGGCGAGCCUGAUGCAGCGAGGCCGCGUGAGGGAUGGAGGCCUGCGGGUUGUGAACCUCUUUCGCUAGUGAAGCAGGCCUGCCUCGUUUGUGGGUGGGUUGACGGUAGCUGGAUAAGAAGCGCCGGCUAACUACGUG
This 494-nucleotide ribosomal RNA is filed under the name uncultured bacterium. Its description in RNAcentral is "partial 16S ribosomal RNA". It matches the Rfam family "Bacterial small subunit ribosomal RNA", at positions 28 to 507 of the family's 1533-position model. The record is from RNAcentral.